UGGCGACCCGGCACCCGACAGCGCAGGCAGAGCGGAGCGCAGGGGCGUGGCGUCGCGAGCGGGCGAAUUCUCUAGUAGCAGCCGGCCGGUAGGCAGUGCCCAGGUGUCCCCUUGCCGACCGGCAGUUGUCCCUGUUCUCGCCGGUCGUGCGAUGGCCGGAGCCCUUCCCAUCACUCGGAGGAGCACCUAUAGCUCGCCGGGAUAACCCGACGCGUCGCCCAGCCACUGGAGGAAUGGGGACCCGAGCUCUCUCCGCGAGCCCGCGGUCGCCAAGCCCUGCCUUCCCUUCUGCAGCUCCUCACCAUGAGCGUUUCCACCGUGUCCCCGACAUCUUGAGGAGGCAGCAGCGCCGGGUGCGCCUUCUGAAUCAUUGAACCAGGCAAGGAAGCAGACCUCUUGAAGGUGAUGGUCAUCGUCCCUGUAAAGACUGCAUUAGCACUUCUGUAUGCUGUCAUGAAAAAUGUGGAGUCUAUCAUGGUCCCCAGUGCACCACCGUGGACAAUCCUAUAAGGCCAGAUGAAAGGAGAAAAGGAAGAAACAGUCACUAUACUGGUGAGAUGCUGGUGAAGGGUCCCUGUCAACCAGGACCAGGUCCUGUUUCACUCAGUGUGGAGCAGAGAAAUGAGGAAAACACAAAUGCCAAGGUAAAACAAGCAAUGUUGUCUACGGUUACAGAUGGGGCAUGGAGGACAGAUACCAUCGUCACCAUCAUCCUCAUCAAUGACUGCUCUGAGACUCAGGAAGUUCAGGUUGGCUCAUACAGGAAGGAGCGGGGCCAGGACCUGUCUUCCAAUGUCCCCUAAGGAAAGUGUGACGUUGCUCAACAUCCAGGAUUCAUCUUACUUCAGAAGUAUUAGGUACCCUAAAUGAUUUCUGCAGGGGUCAGAGAGAGAAGAGUCCUGGCAAUCAACAGUCUGGCAAAAGGCAGAGGAAACCCUUCUUAAAAUCUCACACCAGUUGCAGAACUGGUCCAAUCUAUUGCACCCAGCAUGGUGCCUGUCUCAUGGGGUUGACUGCAUCAGGGUCACAUCCUCCAGAGCACAGCCAAGCAGUAGGAUAGCCAGGCUGAGAAGCACAUGGCAUGUGUUAGCCAAUGCAGGAGUUAAGGUGGAAAAGCCUGUGACUCUGGAGACAUCCUCCUGGGGAUUCCAGUUUGGCAGUAUGCUGGCAGCCAAUUCAUGUUUUUUCUCACCAAAUAAAAUUUUAUUGCUAUCCUGUCACUAAUAGCCCCAAAUCAUAAAGUAAUAGUCAAUUAUUGGAUUUCUUCCUCAGAUUAGAAUUUUAAGUGAAAUGUUUGACAUCAGGAAUUUUAUUCAUUAUAUUGAAACUCAAGUAAUUUUAUGUAACUAAUCAUCUUGAAGGAGUCUUUUUAGAUCAUGAGCACCAAGAUUGAAGUAGUAAUAGUCUCCCAACAAAUGAAAGCCCAGAACUGAAUAGAUUCGUAGCCAAAUUCUAUCAGAUCUUUAAAGAAGAAUUACCACCAAUGCUCCUCAAACUAUUCUAUAAAAUAGAAAGGGAAGGAAUGUUAUCAAACUCAUUUGGUGAAGACAGGGUAAGGACAGAUAAGGACACAACAACAAAAAGAAUA
This is a long non-coding RNA of Castor canadensis (American beaver), 1588 nucleotides long. RefSeq lists it as uncharacterized. The record is from RefSeq and is a predicted model, not a curated record. Lineage: Eukaryota; Metazoa; Chordata; Mammalia; Rodentia; Castoridae.